UACGGGAGGCAGCAGUCGGGAAUUUUGGGCAAUGGGCGAAAGCCUGACCCAGCAACGCCGCGUGAAGGAUGAAGUUUUUCGGAAUGUAAACUUCGUAAGAAUAGGAAGAAUAAAUGACGGUACUAUUUGUAAGGUCCGGCUAACUACGUGCCAGCAGCCGCGGUAAUACGUAGGGACCAAGCGUUGUUCGGAUUUACUGGGCGUAAAGGGCGCGUAGGCGGCAAUUCAAGUCAGCUGUGAAAUCUCCGGGCUUAACUCGGAACGGUCAGCUGAUACUGCUUUGCUAGAGUGCAGAAGGGGCAAUCGGAAUUCUUGGUGUAGCGGUGAAAUGCGUAGAUAUCAAGAGGAACACCUGAGGUGAAGACGGGUUGCUGGGCUGACACUGACGCUGAGGCGCGAAAGCUAGGGUAGCAAACGGGAUUAGAUACCCCGGUAGUCCUAGCCCUAAACGAUGAAUACUUGGUGUCUGGAGUUUUUAUCCUCCGGGUGCCGUCGCUAACGUUUUAAGUAUUCCGCCUGGGGAGUACGCACGCAAGUGUGAAACUCAAAGGAAUUG
This 556-nucleotide ribosomal RNA is filed under the name uncultured bacterium. RNAcentral describes it as "bacterial SSU rRNA". It matches the Rfam family "Bacterial small subunit ribosomal RNA", at positions 340 to 912 of the family's 1533-position model. The record is from RNAcentral.